GCACAGGCUGUAUAAGGGAGGUCAACACAUCUGGAUGACCCCUGGUGGCUGGCUGCAGUGUAGGUCAUAAGCCCUGCCCCCUCCAUGUUAGCGGAUGGGACAUCGGCCAAAAUAAAUAA
Molecule: long non-coding RNA, 119 nt
Organism: Etheostoma cragini (Arkansas darter)
Lineage: Eukaryota; Metazoa; Chordata; Actinopteri; Perciformes; Percidae
Exons: 3
Source: RefSeq, a predicted model, not a curated record